RNAcentral lists this ribosomal RNA (456 nucleotides) under uncultured bacterium. Its description in RNAcentral is "bacterial SSU rRNA". It matches the Rfam family "Bacterial small subunit ribosomal RNA", at positions 340 to 786 of the family's 1533-position model. The record is from RNAcentral.
UACGGAAGGCAGCAGUGGGGAAUAUUGCACAAUGGGCGAAAGCCUGAUGCAGCUAUGCCGCGUGUAUGAAGAAGGCCUUAGGGUUGUAAAGUACUUUCAUCGGGGAGGAAAAAACAAAACUAAUAAUUUUAUUUCUUGACGUUACCCGAAAAAGAAGCACCGGCUAACUCCGUGCCAGCAGCCGCGGUAAUACGGAGGGUGCUAGCGUUAAUCAGAAUUACUGGGCGUAAAGAGCGCGUAGGUGGUUUUUUUAAGUCAGAUGUGAAAUCCCUAGGCUUAACCUGGAACUGCAUUUUGAAACUGAAAAACUAGAGUAUCGUAGAGGGAGGUAGAAUUCUAGGUGUAGCGGUGAAAUGCGUAGAUAUCUGGAGGAAUACCUGUGGCGAAAGCGGCCUCCUAAACGAAUACUGACACUGAGGGUGCGAAAGCGUGGGGAGCAAACAGGGAUUAGAUACC